AAGUCGUAACAAGGUCUCCGUUGGUGAACCAGCGGAGGGAUCAUUACAGAGUUAUCCAACUCCCAAACCCAUGUGAACUUAUCUCUUUGUUGCCUCGGCGCAAGCUACCCGGGACCUCGCGCCCCGGGCGGCCCGCCGGCGGACAAACCAAAACUCUUGUUAUCUUAGUUGAUUAUCUGAGUGUCUUAUUUAAUAAGUCAAAACUUUCAACAACGGAUCUCUUGGUUCUG
This 230-nucleotide unclassified non-coding RNA is filed under the name fungal sp. Its description in RNAcentral is "partial contains small subunit ribosomal RNA, internal transcribed spacer 1, and 5.8S ribosomal RNA". The stretch from base 1 to 46 matches the Rfam family "Eukaryotic small subunit ribosomal RNA", at positions 1786 to 1831 of the family's 1831-position model. RNAcentral also lists the same sequence under 3 other names. Lineage: Eukaryota; Fungi. The record is from RNAcentral.